GACGAACGCUGGCGGCGUGCUUAACACAUGCAAGUCGAACGGUGAAGCUCCAGCUUGCUGGAGUGGAUCAGUGGCGAACGGGUGAGUAACACGUGAGCAACCUGCCCCUGACUCUGGAAUAAGCGCUGGAAACGGCGUCUAAUACUGGAUACGAGAAGGGUCCGCAUGGGCACUUUCUGGAAAGUUUUUCGGUUGGGGAUGGGCUCGCGGCCUAUCAGCUUGUUGGUGAGGUAAUGGCUCACCAAGGCGACGACGGGUAGCCGGCCUGAGAGGGCGACCGGCCACACUGGGCCUGAGACACGGCCCAGACUCCUACGGGAGGCAGCAGUGGGGAAUAUUGCACAAUGGGCGCAAGCCUGAUGCAGCGACGCCGCGUGAGGGAUGACGGCCUUCGGGUUGUAAACCUCUUUCAGCAGGGAAGAAGCGAAAGUGACGGUACCUGCAGAAGAAGCACCGGCUAACUACGUG
RNAcentral lists this ribosomal RNA (468 nucleotides) under uncultured bacterium. RNAcentral describes it as "partial 16S ribosomal RNA". It matches the Rfam family "Bacterial small subunit ribosomal RNA", at positions 28 to 507 of the family's 1533-position model. The record is from RNAcentral.